Molecule: ribosomal RNA, 253 nt
Filed under: uncultured bacterium
Lineage: Bacteria
Description: partial 16S ribosomal RNA
Rfam family: Bacterial small subunit ribosomal RNA
Source: RNAcentral
UACGUAGGGUGCGAGCGUUGUCCGGAAUUAUUGGGCGUAAAGGGCUCGUAGGCGGUUUGUCGCGUCGGGAGUGAAAUCCACUGGCUUAACUGGUGGCUUGCUUUCGAUACGGGCAGACUGGAGGUAUGCAGGGGAGAACGGAAUUCCUGGUGUAGCGGUGAAAUGCGCAGAUAUCAGGAGGAACACCGGUGGCGAAGGCGGCGACCUGGGUAGAUACUGACGCUGAGGCGCGAAAGCGUGGGGAGCAAACAGG